AGUGAACGCUGGCGGUAGGCCUAACACAUGCAAGUCGAACGGCAGCACAGUAAGAGCUUGCUCUUACGGGUGGCGAGUGGCGGACGGUUGAAGAAUACAUCGGAAUCUACUUUUUCGUGGGGGUUAACGUAGGGAAACUUACGCUAAUACCGCAUACGACCUACGGGUGAAAGCAGGGGAUCUUCGGACCUUGCGCGAUUGAAUGAGCCGAUGUCGGAUUAGCUAGUUGGCGGGGUAAAGGCCCACCAAGGCGACGAUCCGUAGCUGGUCUGAGGGGAUGAUCAGCCACACUGGAACUGAGACACGGUCCAGACUCCUACGGGAGGCAGCAGUGGGGAAUAUUGGACAAUGGGCGCAAUCCUGAUCCAGCCAUACCGCGUGGGUGAAGAAGGCCUUCGGGUUGUAAAGCCCUUUUGUUGGGAAAGAAAAGCAGCAGGUUAAUACCCCGCUGUUCUGACGGUACCCAAAGAAUAAGCACCGGCUAACUUCGUG
This 492-nucleotide ribosomal RNA is filed under the name uncultured bacterium. RNAcentral describes it as "partial 16S ribosomal RNA". It matches the Rfam family "Bacterial small subunit ribosomal RNA", at positions 29 to 507 of the family's 1533-position model. The record is from RNAcentral.